GUAAAGCUAAUGAAUCCAAUAUUCUUCCAUGUGUCAGUGCCAAAUAUCAGAAUUUUACAGGUCUGGAGAUUAAUUUCUGGGAAGAUCUAAAGUUGUGAAGCCCAUCAGUCAUGCAUGCAGAUUGCAGACAUGGAUUAACCAAUCAACCUCAGCUGGUCUGCCUCACAUGAACAGCUACUUUUAUCUACCUACCCAAUGCAACGAAAAAUGAAGUUAACAUCAAAUUUAG
RNAcentral lists this unclassified non-coding RNA (229 nucleotides) under Hevea brasiliensis (rubber tree). The record is from RNAcentral. Lineage: Eukaryota; Viridiplantae; Streptophyta; Magnoliopsida; Malpighiales; Euphorbiaceae.